AGAAAUGAUCAAAGGAAUUGAUCCAAAGGCUAAAAACUUGAUAGCUAAAGGGGGCAAAUACUAUUAAUAAUAUUCUAGCCCAACUCUCUCUCUCUCUAUAUAUAUAAAAUUGAGCUCCUAUGCUUUUAAAAGUAUAAGUUAUUGGUGCUUGUAGAUUGGUUGUCACGCCCCGCGCCCCGCCUAUUUGGUCGGGUUCGGGCACGUCGACACACCGCCGAACGGAUAGAGUUUUCCCUGUACGUCCUAGGCGUCGCAAUCAAUACAAUACAAGAGUUCCACCAGGAACAGUAUUCAACAUACAGAUUGCAUAAGGAAGUAUCAAAAACAUAAACAACUAACUAUUACAAGCAUUCACAUACAUGCUUUUUCAUUUCAAU
RNAcentral lists this long non-coding RNA (377 nucleotides) under Ananas comosus (pineapple). RNAcentral describes it as "long non-coding RNA (ACOM_LNC019834)". Lineage: Eukaryota; Viridiplantae; Streptophyta; Magnoliopsida; Poales; Bromeliaceae. The record is from RNAcentral.